Oncorhynchus tshawytscha (Chinook salmon) is the source of this 403-nucleotide long non-coding RNA. The record is from Ensembl. Lineage: Eukaryota; Metazoa; Chordata; Actinopteri; Salmoniformes; Salmonidae.
GCCGACUUCGGUGGAAGUCGAGACAGUUGGUCUGAGCAGACAGUCAGAACGAUGCUGGGGAAGAAUGUGAAACAGGCCCUGCUGAACAUGCACAAGAUUGCCUCCGACCAGGUUGACCCCCAUCCGUGUGACUUCCUGGAGACCCAUUACCUGAAUGAGCAGGUGGAGGCCAUUAAAGAAGCUGGGUGACCACAUCACCAACCUCACCAAGAUGGAUGCUGUCAACAACAAGAUGGCAGAGUACCUGUUUGACAAGCACACCCUGGGAGGCCAGAGCUAAACCACUUCCAUCCCCAGGCUACGGCCUCCGGCCUCUGACCAGGACUCCUGGCAUCUCUGCUCUAUCCUGCUGCCUUUGCAUCUUUGAGGAGGGCGAGUGAUGAACUGGUACAGAGCAAUGCAU